Micropterus salmoides (largemouth bass) is the source of this 127-nucleotide long non-coding RNA. RefSeq lists it as uncharacterized. NCBI's taxonomy places the organism in Eukaryota, Metazoa, Chordata, Actinopteri, Centrarchiformes, Centrarchidae. The transcript has 3 exons. The record is from RefSeq and is a predicted model, not a curated record.
UGAAGCUGCUGUCUGCUGGAUUGGAGGAGCCACACUGGAGACUGGACACUCUCAGGGUGGACCAUGGUGGAGAGCAGAGGUUAAAACCUGGUCUGAGGAAGUAUCUCUGUGAACUCACACUGGACAC